RNAcentral lists this ribosomal RNA (324 nucleotides) under uncultured eukaryote. RNAcentral's name for it is "partial 18S ribosomal RNA". It matches the Rfam family "Eukaryotic small subunit ribosomal RNA", at positions 1470 to 1796 of the family's 1831-position model. The record is from RNAcentral.
CCCUUAGAUGUCCUGGGCUGCACGCGCGCUACACUGAUGUGUCCAGUAAGCACCUAACCUCUUCCGAAAGGAACGGGUAACCUUUGCAAAGCACAUCGUGAUGGGGAUAGAUUAUUGCAAUUAUUAGUCUUGAACGAGGAAUUCCUAGUAAGCACAAGUCAUCAGCCUGUGUUGAUUACGUCCCUGCCCUUUGUACACACCGCCCGUCGCUCCUACCGAUUGAAUGUUCCGGUGAGCUCUUCGGACUGCGCGGUCUGCAGUUUCUGCGUUCCGUGCGGAAAGUUGCGCAAACCUUAACAUUUAGAGGAAGGAGAAGUCGUAACA